CCAUAACCAACUGCAGCCUCUGCAACGCUGAAGAGGGCACCUCUGCGCUCUCCUGGAAAGGUGGACUUUUCCAAAGGCUAGCUGACCCGGGCCUGGGUGCCUCCCCCUGCUCCCUGCCUUACAGGUAUUUGCUGAGUCCAGGCUGGAACCCAGGACCAAACACUCCUGUCUGAUUCACGCCCUCUCAGGCUCCAGCGCUUCCUCUUCCCUUGAAUUCUGCCCCUGACUCAUUCUUCUCAGCACGGAAACAGAGCCUUGGGCAUCAAUCAUCAAGGAUAUCCCCUGUCCUCCUGAAGCUACCUCGUUGUCUUCGUUGUCCAAUAGCCAGCAUACAGAGGCUCACAGAACAGGGGCAAGAGGAGAUGCCCAAUUUCGAUGGGAUAGGAAGAAGCUUCAUUGAAACAGUGACAUCUGAGUCCAACCUCGACAGGUAAGUGUUAUUUAGCCGGCCUGAAACUGUGAGGGGUGCAGUAAAAAAGAACAAGGG
Molecule: long non-coding RNA, 487 nt
Filed under: Dasypus novemcinctus (nine-banded armadillo)
Lineage: Eukaryota; Metazoa; Chordata; Mammalia; Cingulata; Dasypodidae
Description: lncRNA (ENSDNOG00000051770.1)
Source: RNAcentral